CCCUGGUAGAUGGAAUCUGCCCCUUGACCAGCAGCACUGUCCAGAGACAGUGGUUGAUGCUGGAUAGAUGACUUUUCCUCAGCCCAUCAUUACCUGCUGGAGUGCUGGUAGAGGCUGAACGCUUUAAUAAAUAUAACUGUGGUCUUGCUGAAAUGUAGUAAUCCAUGGGAAUUUUCCAAAGAAGAUUCAAGAGAACUUUCUGGACCUCAAGAGAUGUUGACACCCUGCUGAUGGAGCAGAAGCAGAAAGCAGUUCUCUUACCAUCAGAUCUGAUCCAUUUUUGGAGAUAGCCUUUUGUAUGGAGCUGGGUAGCGGUUACUGGAGACGUGCUGUUGAUUGAUGAGGAUAAUUUUCCCGAGACUCUGACAUAUUGCAGGACUUGGAUAGCUCUACUGCUGUUCAAAAUGCCAG
Ostrea edulis (European flat oyster) is the source of this 411-nucleotide long non-coding RNA. RefSeq lists it as uncharacterized. Lineage: Eukaryota; Metazoa; Mollusca; Bivalvia; Ostreida; Ostreidae. The record is from RefSeq and is a predicted model, not a curated record. The transcript is spliced from 4 exons.